AGAAUCAACGCUGGCGGCGUGCCUAACACAUGCAAGUCGAACGAGAAAGUGGAGCAAUCCAUGAGUAAAGUGGCGCACGGGUGAGUAACACGUGACUAACCUACCCUCGAGUGGGGAAUAACUUCGGGAAACCGAGGCUAAUACCGCAUAAAACCUAAGGGUCAAAGGAGCAAUCCGUUUGAGGAGGGGGUCGCGGCAGAUUAGUUAGUUGGCGGGGUAAUGGCCCACCAAGACGAUGAUCUGUAUCCGGCCUGAGAGGGCGCACGGACACACUGGAACUGAAACACGGUCCAGACUCCUACGGGAGGCAGCAGUGGGGAAUUUGCGCAAUGGGGGAAACCCUGACGCAGCAACGCCGCGUGGAGGAUGAAAUCCCUUGGGAUGUAAAACUCCUUUCGAUCGGGAAGAUAAUGACGGUACCGGAAGAAGAAGCCCCGGCUAACUUCGCGCCAGCAGCCGC
This 460-nucleotide ribosomal RNA is filed under the name uncultured bacterium. RNAcentral describes it as "SSU rRNA". It matches the Rfam family "Bacterial small subunit ribosomal RNA", at positions 26 to 518 of the family's 1533-position model. The record is from RNAcentral.